Molecule: transfer RNA, 77 nt
Filed under: Armatimonas rosea
Lineage: Bacteria; Bacillati; Armatimonadota; Armatimonadia; Armatimonadales; Armatimonadaceae
Description: tRNA-Leu
Rfam family: tRNA
About the family: Transfer RNA (tRNA) molecules are approximately 80 nucleotides in length. Their secondary structure includes four short double-helical elements and three loops (D, anti-codon, and T loops).
Source: RNAcentral
GCCCCGGUUGCGUCCAAUGGGUAGAGACACGCUGCUUAAGACAGUGAACGGUGUCGGUUCGAAUCCGACUCGGGGCA